UAUCUCUGUAGAGUCUGCAUAUCAAUAAGCGGAGGAAAAGAAACUAACAAGGAUUCCCCUAGUAACGGCGAGUGAAGCGGGAAGAGCUCAAAUUUGAAAUCUUCAAGGUUCUGACCUUGACGAAUUGUAGUUUAAAGAAGUGUUUUCGGUUAGAGGAGUAGUAAAAGUUCUUUGGAAUAGGACAUCAUAGAGGGUGAGAAUCCCGUAUUUGACUAUUCUUUCUAGCUUUGUGAUACACUUUCAAAGAGUCGGAUUGUUUGGGAAUGCAGUCCAAAAUGGGUGGUAAAUUUCAUCUAAAGCUAAAUAUUGGCGAGAGACCGAUAGCGAACAAGUACCGUGAGGGAAAGAUGAAAAGAACUUUGAAAAGAGAGUUAAACAGUACGUGAAAUUGUCAAAAGGGAAGCGUUUGACACCAGUGUUGUUUUUCCGAAAAUCAAUUAAAAAUUGAUUCAUGCCAGGUUGUAUUGACCUUAUCAGCUUGCAAUUUGGUUUUGGGUCUCUUUUUGAUGCACUUUUCGGUUAACAAGUCAACAUCAAUUUCCUUUGCUGUAAAAAGGUAAGAGGAAGGUGGCUUCAAUUUCGGUUGAAGUGUUUAUAGCCUUUUAUCUCUGCAGUCGGGGAGAUUGAGGUCUGCAGCGUAGAUCCUUCGGGGCUAGAUACAUUUAUGCUAAGUUAUAGCUUUUCAUAGACAACUUGUUGACUAUGUUUAGUCAUGUAGCUUACUCGUAAGUGCUAUUUUACCUACGCUUAGGAUGUUGAGCGCAUGUCUCUCUC
RNAcentral lists this ribosomal RNA (774 nucleotides) under uncultured Neocallimastigales. RNAcentral's name for it is "partial large subunit ribosomal RNA". It matches the Rfam family "Eukaryotic large subunit ribosomal RNA", at positions 24 to 645 of the family's 3401-position model. The record is from RNAcentral. Lineage: Eukaryota; Fungi; Neocallimastigomycota; Neocallimastigomycetes; Neocallimastigales.